GGCGCUGUGGCUUAGCAGGUGAAAGCGCCUUUCUUGUAAACAGGAGAUCCUGGGUUCGACUCCCAGCAGCGCCU
Molecule: non-coding RNA, 74 nt
Organism: Coregonus clupeaformis (lake whitefish)
Lineage: Eukaryota; Metazoa; Chordata; Actinopteri; Salmoniformes; Salmonidae
Source: the annotation of a RefSeq genome assembly